RNAcentral lists this ribosomal RNA (75 nucleotides) under Bacilli bacterium. Lineage: Bacteria; Bacillati; Bacillota; Bacilli. The record is from RNAcentral.
UCUGGUAGCGAUGGCGGAGAGGUCACACCUGUUCCCAUACCGAACACAGAAGUUAAGCUCUCCAGCGCCAAAGCA